This is a non-coding RNA of Podarcis lilfordi (Lilford's wall lizard), 352 nucleotides long. The record is from the annotation of a GenBank genome assembly. Lineage: Eukaryota; Metazoa; Chordata; Lepidosauria; Squamata; Lacertidae.
CGGCUAAGGGAGCUGGGCAUGUUUAGCCUGGAGAAGAGGAGGUUAAGGGGUGAUAUGAUAGCCAUGUUCAAAUAUAUAAAAGGAUGUCACAUAGAGGAGGGAGAAAGGUUGUUUUCUGCUGCUCCAGAGAAGCGGACACGGAGCAAUGGAUCCAAACUACAAGAAAGAAGAUUCCACCUAAACAUUAGGAAGAACUUCCUGACAGUAAUAGCUGUUCGACAGUGGAAUUUGCUGCCAAGGAGUGUGGUGGAGUCUCCUUCUUUGGAGGUCUUUAAGCAGAGGCUUGACAACCAUAUGUCAGGAGUGCUCUGAUGGUGUUUCCUGCUUGGCAGGGGGUUGGACUCGAUGGCCC